GUCUCAUCAAGAACGACUGAGGGAACAGGCCCGAUGACGUCGUGGCAACCGGACCCCUCCACGCGAGGGGUCGUCCUGGUGCCAACUCCUGCCCCGCCCCGCGUGGGGACAGAUGAGAG
Molecule: non-coding RNA, 119 nt
Filed under: Salinibacter ruber
Lineage: Bacteria; Pseudomonadati; Rhodothermota; Rhodothermia; Rhodothermales; Salinibacteraceae
Also listed under: 1 other name
Description: SAM-I sequence
Rfam family: SAM riboswitch aptamer (S box leader)
About the family: The SAM riboswitch is found upstream of a number of genes which code for proteins involved in methionine or cysteine biosynthesis in Gram-positive bacteria.
Source: RNAcentral